AACGAUGAUGCCCAGCUUGCUGGGCGGAUUAGUGGCGAACGGGUGAGUAAUACGUGAGUAACCUGCCCUUGACUCUGGGAUAAGCCUGGGAAACUGGGUCUAAUACUGGAUACUACCUCUUGCCGCAUGGUGGGUGGUGGAAAGGGUUUUACUGGUUUUGGAUGGGCUCACGGCCUAUCAGCUUGUUGGUGGGGUAAUGGCUCACCAAGGCGACGACGGGUAGCCGGCCUGAGAGGGUGACCGGCCACACUGGGACUGAGACACGGCCCAGACUCCUACGGGAGGCAGCAGUGGGGAAUAUUGCACAAUGGGCGGAAGCCUGAUGCAGCGACGCCGCGUGAGGGAUGACGGCCUUCGGGUUGUAAACCUCUUUCAGUAGGGAAGAAGCGAGAGUGACGGUACCUGCAGAAGAAGCGCCGGCUAACUACGUGCCAGCAGCCGCGGUAAUACGUAGGGCGCAAGCGUUGUCCGGAAUUAUUGGGCGUAAAGAGCUCGUAGGCGGUUUGUCGCGUCUGCUGUGAAAGCCCGGGGCUCAACCCCGGGUCUGCAGUGGGUACGGGCAGACUAGAGUGCAGUAGGGGAGACUGGAAUUCCUGGUGUAGCGGUGAAAUGCGCAGAUAUCAGGAGGAACACCGAUGGCGAAGGCAGGUCUCUGGGCUGUUACUGACGCUGAGGAGCGAAAGCAUGGGGAGCGAACAGGAUUAGAUACCCUGGUAGUCC
RNAcentral lists this ribosomal RNA (720 nucleotides) under Kocuria rosea. RNAcentral's name for it is "bacterial SSU rRNA". It matches the Rfam family "Bacterial small subunit ribosomal RNA", at positions 65 to 796 of the family's 1533-position model. Lineage: Bacteria; Bacillati; Actinomycetota; Actinomycetes; Micrococcales; Micrococcaceae. The record is from RNAcentral.